UUGCCUAUGAAGAAACCUAAUCAUCAAAAUACCAUCUUUCGGGGCUGAUUAGCUCUUGGGGCUGUGUUGAUAUUCUGCAAUUCUGAGGCAA
Molecule: small nucleolar RNA, 91 nt
Organism: Zingiber officinale
Lineage: Eukaryota; Viridiplantae; Streptophyta; Magnoliopsida; Zingiberales; Zingiberaceae
Product: small nucleolar RNA SNORD96 family
Exons: 1
Source: RefSeq, a predicted model, not a curated record